GACGAACGCUGGCGUCUUGCUUAACACAUGCAAGUCAAACGGAAAGUCCCUGCUUUUGUGGGGUGCUCUAGUGGCGAACUGGUGAUUAACACUUGAGUAACCUGCCCUUGACUUUGUUAUAACUUCAGGAAACUGGGGCUAAUACCGCAUAGGAUCUCCUGCUGCAUGUUUGGGGUUGGAAAGUUUCGGCGGUUGGUGAUGGACUCGCUGCUUAUCAGCUUGUUGGUGGGGUAGUGGCUUACCAAGGCUUUGACGGGUAGCCGGCCUGAGAGGGUGACCGGCCACAUUGGGACUGAGAUACGGCCCAGACUCCUACGGGAGGCAGCAGUGGGGAAUAUUGCACAAUGGGCGGAAGCCUGAUGCAGCAACGCCGCGUGCGGGAUGACGGCCUUCGGGUUGUAAACCGCUUUCGCCUGUGACGAAGCGUGAGUGACGGUAAUGGGUAAAGAAGCACCGGCUAACUACGUG
RNAcentral lists this ribosomal RNA (468 nucleotides) under uncultured bacterium. RNAcentral describes it as "partial 16S ribosomal RNA". It matches the Rfam family "Bacterial small subunit ribosomal RNA", at positions 28 to 507 of the family's 1533-position model. The record is from RNAcentral.